RNAcentral lists this long non-coding RNA (721 nucleotides) under Rattus norvegicus (Norway rat). RNAcentral's name for it is "long non-coding RNA NONRATT005104". Lineage: Eukaryota; Metazoa; Chordata; Mammalia; Rodentia; Muridae. The record is from RNAcentral.
UCAACACCUAGAGAUAGAUGGGAAAAGACAAGCAGCUUGGGCUGGAGAAGGCUCAGUGGCAGAGUACUGGCCUGUCAGACUCAGAGGGCCGGACUCCAUCUCUUCCAGGGGCAAAGGGGGCAGUGGGGCAAACCAACUCUCAUUCAUGCCCCUUUCAUAAAGCCAAAACUAAGAGAGUGCUUUCCAGGUCGAGGCUGAGGGUGAGAGCCUCUGUGCUGGCCCCGGGGCUGCAUGCUUAGCUCUGUCUCAAGGACUGUUUGACUGUAAUGCACUGACCUAUUGCAUUUUAGCAUAUACAUUGCCGUUUUUAUCCAACCUUUCCCAUGGUCCUUCUACACAGCAUCUGUUUUCAUCGGGAUCGCAGCUGCCGUCCUUUGGACAGCACAAGGAAAUUGCCUGACAAUAAACUCUGAUGAACACACAAUCGGGAGAAACAGCGGGAUUUUCUGGGCACUCUUGCAAUCUAGCUUGUUCUUUGGGAAUCUCUACAUAUAUUUUGCCUGGCAAGGGAAAACCCAGAUUUCAGAGAAUGACAGAAGGACUGUGUUCAUCGCUCUGACAGUCAUAAGCCUCGUGGGGACCGUUCUGUUCUUUCUCAUUCGGAAACCAGAUCCUGAGAAUGUCCUAGGAGAAGAAGAUGAGUCUUGCGAUGAUCAGGACAUGGAAGCCACCGAGUCUGCCCAGAACAACGUGACAAAGGCAGUUGAUGCGUUUAGUAAGU